GCCGGCAGCUAGCUCUCUGCAACUCUCACAUGGUUGCCCACUGAAGCUAAGCAGGGCUGCGCCCGGUCAGUACCUGGAUGGGAGACCACAUGGGAAAGCUAGGUUGCUGCCGGAA
Danio rerio (zebrafish) is the source of this 115-nucleotide non-coding RNA. The record is from Rfam. NCBI's taxonomy places the organism in Eukaryota, Metazoa, Chordata, Actinopteri, Cypriniformes, Danionidae.